Molecule: ribosomal RNA, 1037 nt
Filed under: Amauromyza monfalconensis
Lineage: Eukaryota; Metazoa; Arthropoda; Insecta; Diptera; Agromyzidae
Description: eukaryotic LSU rRNA
Rfam family: Eukaryotic large subunit ribosomal RNA
Source: RNAcentral
AAUAGUUCAGCACUAAGUCGCAUUACUAUUUAUUUAGUAAUUGUGAGAUGCAGUGUAUGGAAUAUCUAAUUCUAGUAUGAAAAAUUAAUUAUUUAAGUCCUUCUUAAAUGAGGCCAUUUACCCAUAGAGGGUGCCAGGCCCGUAGAAAAUUAAUGAUUACUAGAAGAUAUUUCCAAAGAGUCGUGUUGCUUGAUAGUGCAGCACUAAGUUGGUGGUAAACUCCAUCUAAAACUAAAUAUAACCAUGAGACCGAUAGUAAACAAGUACCGUGAGGGAAAGUUGAAAAGAACUCUGAAUAGAGAGUUAAAUAGUACGUGAAACUGCUUAGAGGUUAAACCCGAUGAACCUGAAUAUCCAAAUAUAGAGAAUUCAUUAUUAAGGCAAUGUAAAUAUUAUUUUUACAUUGUAAUGGUGUGCAUUUUCUCUAUAUAAAAAUGGACAUUGUAAUCUAUUAAUAUCAUAAAAAUUUAUCAUAAGAUUAUUGACAAAUGUUUAUUUAAAUUAAUUUGCUUCGGCUUAUUAACAUAAAAUAAAUUGUUUAUAAUUUGAUAAAGUAUUGAUAGAUUUAAUCAUAUGUAUAAUGCAUAAAUUCUAAUAUAGAAUUUUAUUAUAUAUAUAUAUAUAUAUAUAUAAUAUGCAUUAAUACGAUUUACAAUGCGAAAGAUUCAGGAUACCUUCGGGACCCGUCUUGAAACACGGACCAAGGAGUCUAACAUAUGUGCAAGUUUUUGGGAAUUAUUUUAUUAUAAAACCCAAAAAGCAUAAUUAACAUGACUAUUAUUAAAAUGGGAUUAGUUUUUAAAAAUUCAAUAUGAAAUAUAUAUUAAAAAUUCAAUCCCMGGGCGUUCUAUACAGUUAUGUAUUAUUAUAAAAAAUAGCMUUUAUGUUAUUUUUAUUUUAUACCUCUAACUAGAGCGUACCUUUAGCAUAUAUGCUGUGACCCGAAAGAUGGUGAACUAUACUUGAUCAGGUCGAAGUCAGGGGAAACCCUGAUGGAAGACCGAAACAGUUCUGACGUGCAAAUCGAUUGUCAGAAU